This 45-nucleotide non-coding RNA is filed under the name Schistosoma mansoni. Lineage: Eukaryota; Metazoa; Platyhelminthes; Trematoda; Strigeidida; Schistosomatidae. The record is from RNAcentral.
AUCCAACUGACGAGUCUCAAAUAGAACGAAACACCCGUCCCGGAU